RNAcentral lists this ribosomal RNA (439 nucleotides) under uncultured bacterium. RNAcentral describes it as "partial 16S ribosomal RNA". It matches the Rfam family "Bacterial small subunit ribosomal RNA", at positions 339 to 795 of the family's 1533-position model. The record is from RNAcentral.
CUACGGGUGGCUCCAGUGAGGAAUAUUGCACAAUGGGGGGAACCCUGAUGCAGUAACGCCGCGUGGAGGAUGACGCAUUUCGGUGUGUAAACUCCUUUUAUAUGUCAAGAAAAUGACGGUAGCAUAUGAAUAAGCACCGGCUAACUCCGUGCCAGCAGCCGCGGUAAUACGGAGGGUGCAAGCGUUACUCGGAAUCACUGGGCGUAAAGGACGCGUAGGCGGGUUGGAAAGUCAGGUGUGAAAUCCUACAGCUUAACUGUAGAACUGCACUUGAAACUUCUAAUCUAGAGUAUGCGAGGGGGAGAUGGAAUUAGUGGUGUAGGGGUAAAAUCCGUAGAUAUCACUAGGAAUACCUAAAGCGAAGGCGAUCUCCUGGAACAUUACUGACGCUAAGGCGUGAAAGCGUGGGGAGCAAACAGGAUUAGAUACCCCAGUAGUC